UAUAAAUGUUAAUUUUUACUAAAGUAGUAUUAGUUAUGAUCUUGAAAUUUAAAAAUUUUGGCGGUAUUUUAGUCUAUUCAGAGGAACCUGUUCUGUAAUUGAUAAUCCACGAUAAAUUAUACUUUAUUUAUUAGUUUAUAUAUCGUCGUUAUUAAAUAUUUUAUUAGAAUUAUAAUAUUUAAGUUUUUUAAUUAGAAAAUAUAUCAGAUCAAGGUGUAGUUUAUAAUAAAGAAGAAAUGGGUUACAAUAAAUUUAUUUAUGGAUUUGUUUAUAAAAAUUAAUAAUGAAAUUGGAUUUGAAAGUAAUAAAUUUUAAAUUUAAUUUAUGAUUUUAGCUCUAAAAUGU
RNAcentral lists this ribosomal RNA (345 nucleotides) under Hydroporus umbrosus. Its description in RNAcentral is "partial 12S ribosomal RNA". Lineage: Eukaryota; Metazoa; Arthropoda; Insecta; Coleoptera; Dytiscidae. The record is from RNAcentral.